This 216-nucleotide ribosomal RNA is filed under the name Glomeromycotina sp. RNAcentral's name for it is "partial small subunit ribosomal RNA". The stretch from base 40 to 216 matches the Rfam family "Eukaryotic small subunit ribosomal RNA", at positions 686 to 864 of the family's 1831-position model. Lineage: Eukaryota; Fungi; Glomeromycota. The record is from RNAcentral.
GGGUCAGUAGGUUGGUCGUGCCACCGGUACGUACUGGUCUCACUGAUUCCUCCUUCCUGAAGAACCGUAAUGCCAUUAAUUUGGUGUUACGGGGAAACAGGACUGUUACUUCGAAAAAAUUAGAGUGUUUAAAGCAAGCUAACGCUUGAAUACAUUAGCAUGGAAUAAUGAAAUAGGACGAUCGAUCCUAUUUUGUUGGUUUCUAGGAUUGACGUA